This 543-nucleotide transfer RNA is filed under the name uncultured Prochlorococcus sp. RNAcentral describes it as "partial 16S-23S ribosomal RNA intergenic spacer". The stretch from base 212 to 284 matches the Rfam family "tRNA". Lineage: Bacteria; Bacillati; Cyanobacteriota; Cyanophyceae; Synechococcales; Prochlorococcaceae. The record is from RNAcentral.
CAGGGAGACAACAAAAUGUUUAAUAUUAUUAUUUUGUCACCUUAGGUCGAUCGGUAUCUCACGUUCUUAAUUUGUUAAGAAUUUCAUUUCCUAAGUUUUUCUAGGUCACACCCAUUAUUUUUCCUGGGCCAUUAGCUCAGGUGGUUAGAGCGCACCCCUGAUAAGGGUGAGGUCCCUGGUUCAAGUCCAGGAUGGCCCAUAUCUCUAUGUUGGGGGUAUAGCUCAGUUGGUAGAGCGCCUGCUUUGCAAGCAGGAUGUCAGCGGUUCGAGUCCGCUUACCUCCACUGAUUACCACCUCUUACAUAACUGGUAAAAAGGAAAUGUUUUGAGUUGUGAUCAUUAUUCUGAACGAAUCUAGCUUCCUAAUGAAAUCAUUAAGAUGCUGGACUCAUUGAAUUAAUUUCAUUGUUUUCAGAGAACCUUGACAACUGCAUAGAUUAUUUUUAAAGACAAUAAGCAUCUUUAAUGAUGCAGAUUUAUUAUUUUUGCGAAUGCAUUAAUAACAAUUCUAUUAAGCUGAUGCUUCAAUUUUUUGAAGUUAUU